GCAUGUUUAUUUCGUUCAUGCAUGUAGUCUAGAUUGUCUAGGGCAUUGUAGGCAGGUGAACCUUUCCUUGAGCGUGCACAAGGCGAGAUGCCGAGCCGGUCGUGCGACGUGGCCGGAGCGCAAGGCGUGAAGCCAUGCAACAAUGUCAUGUGAUACGACACGUACGAGGAGGUGGAGGACAACCUGCGAACCAGUCCUGGAGUUGGUAGUCAAGUAGCCAAAUGGAUCAGGAUUAGUAGUUGAUGCAUGCACGUUUUGUUGGCCGGGUUAUGAGGCUGUUGUGAGGACGUUGCGCAAGGGCCAAGCAUUGGCGUGCAUGCAGUUAGUGGGUGCAUGGAUUAGUCGCAUUAGUUGCCGAGUAUGGUGGUUGGGCUGUGUGUGUGCCUGUUCUAUUUAACUUGUAAUCAUGUUUGCUUCCAGUAGAGAAAUAUAGAGAGAAGAAAAGACGUCUGGCUGUGUGAAACAACACGUCACCAAGUUUCCUGUGUCUCCAUCGUCUUGUGUGUGUGUUGUGAGAAGCAACCAAGGGAGAAGGUGAGGCACUAAGAGAGUCAACUCCAACAAUUGGUAUCAGCGCCAGGUGAUGAUGAAGACGAUGCCGCGUGAUUCUUCAGCGAGUGGAGCGUUGGUGCUGAGCGACUCGGCGGCAAUGGCGGCUGCCGCAGCGGCGGCGACGGCAGCGGCGUGGAAGCUCCCGUUCCCGCUGCUCACGAGGAUGAACUACGCGGCGUGGGCGAUGAGGAUGAAGUACCUCUUGUGCGCCAAUGGCGCGUGGGGGGUCGUUGAUCGCGAGGCGUCGGCCUCGGAGGUCGACAAGGGCAAGGAGGAGAUGGCCAUGAUGAUCAUCUCCCAGUCGAUCUACAACACGACGCUGCUGCGCGUUGCGGAGAAGGAGACCGCCGUCGAUGUGUGGGCGGCGCUACGCUCCAUGCACGUUGGCAUCGAGCGCGUCCGAGAGGCGAGGAUUCAAUCCUUGCGCUCGGAAUUUGAUGGCCUCAAGAUGGGUGAUGCGGAGUCCGUGGAUGAUUUCGCGGCGAGGUUCACGACGCUCGUGGGCUGCCUCCGUGAGCUUGGUGAUGCGAUGGAGGAGAAGUAUGUCAUGAAGAAGCUACUCCGAGCCGUCUCCAACAAGUUCAUCCACGUUGCGUCAUCGAUUGCGUUGUUUGGCGACACCAACAAGACGGCCAUGGAGGAGGCCAUUGGUUCACUCAAGGCGCACGAGGAGCUCGUCAAGGGGCGGGAGAUGACACAUGAAGAAGAGGGCAUGACUCAUCAUGGCGAGAGGGCAUGACUCAUCAUGAGGACGCGACCAUGGUGGACGCGGCCGUGGCCGCGGACAUGGCCGCGGUUGAGGGCGCAGAGACAAGAGCGAGGUACAGUGCCAUAACUGUGAUGACUUUGGGAACUUUGCUUGGGAGUGUCCGGAGAAGAAGAAGGACAACGAGGAGAAGGCACUGCUCGGUGUCGAGGACGAGCCGGCUCUUCUCUGAAACUGCGUCACAAGUGAAGGAUCAAGAUUAAGCAGGAGAAUGUUAACUUUUUAAUCUUGAUGAUGUAUCUGCAUGUUUAUUUCGUUCAUGCAUGUAGUCUAGAUUGUCUAGGGCAUUGUAGGCAGGUGAACCUUUCCUUGAGCGUGCACGAGGCGAGAUGCCAAGCCGGUCAUGCGACGUGGCCGGAGCGCAAGGCGUGAAGCCAUGCAACAAUGUCGUGUGAUACGACACGUACGAGGAGGUGGAGGACAACCUGCGAACCAGUCCUGGAGUUGGUAGUCAAGUAGCCAAAUGGAUCGGGAUUAGUAGUUGAUGCAUGCACUUUUUAUUGGCCGGGUUAUGAGGCCGUUGUAAGGACCUUGCGCAAGGGCCAAGCAUUGGCAUGCAUGAAGUUAGUGGGUGCAUGGGUUAGUCGUGUUAGUUGCCGAGUAUGGUGGCUGGGCUGUGUGUGUGCCUGUUCUAUUUAACUUGUAAUCAUGUUUGCUUCCAGUGGAGAAAUAUAGAGAGAAGAAAAGGCGUCUGGCUGUGUGAAACAACAC
This 2029-nucleotide long non-coding RNA is filed under the name Triticum aestivum (bread wheat). RNAcentral describes it as "long non-coding RNA (TAES_LNC010100)". Lineage: Eukaryota; Viridiplantae; Streptophyta; Magnoliopsida; Poales; Poaceae. The record is from RNAcentral.